AUGAACGCUGGCGGUGUGCCUAAUACAUGCAAGUCGAGCGAACAGAUGAGGAGCUUGCUCCUCUGACGUUAGCGGCGGACGGGUGAGUAACACGUGGAUAACCUACCUAUAAGACUGGGAUAACUUCGGGAAACCGGAGCUAAUACCGGAUAAUAUAUUGAACCGCAUGGUUCAAUAGUGAAAGACGGUUUUGCUGUCACUUAUAGAUGGAUCCGCGCCGCAUUAGCUAGUUGGUAAGGUAACGGCUUACCAAGGCAACGAUGCGUAGCCGACCUGAGAGGGUGAUCGGCCACACUGGAACUGAGACACGGUCCAGACUCCUACGGGAGGCAGCAGUAGGGAAUCUUCCGCAAUGGGCGAAAGCCUGACGGAGCAACGCCGCGUGAGUGAUGAAGGUCUUCGGAUCGUAAAACUCUGUUAUUAGGGAAGAACAAAUGUGUAAGUAACUAUGCACGUCUUGACGGUACCUAAUCAGAAAGCCACGGCUAACUACGUG
RNAcentral lists this ribosomal RNA (496 nucleotides) under uncultured bacterium. Its description in RNAcentral is "partial 16S ribosomal RNA". It matches the Rfam family "Bacterial small subunit ribosomal RNA", at positions 29 to 507 of the family's 1533-position model. The record is from RNAcentral.